CACAUUUUUUGCACGUGUCUCCGCUGCGACAUACUUCUUCGGAGUGCUGAUGUGCCAGGCAAUUAGCGCAGUAUUUGUUAAUGAUAACGGCGCGUAGCCGCUUCUCAGUACUGAGCCUCAGAAACCUGAUCGAGUACCUCGGGAACGUCUGUCGUCCAGAGUUUGGGCGCUGCGAGGUCGUGGAGCCAUGGUUUUAAUG
Long non-coding RNA from Drosophila gunungcola (fruit fly), 199 nucleotides. RefSeq lists it as uncharacterized. The record is from RefSeq and is a predicted model, not a curated record. Lineage: Eukaryota; Metazoa; Arthropoda; Insecta; Diptera; Drosophilidae. The transcript has 2 exons.